Molecule: non-coding RNA, 22 nt
Filed under: Arabidopsis thaliana (thale cress)
Lineage: Eukaryota; Viridiplantae; Streptophyta; Magnoliopsida; Brassicales; Brassicaceae
Source: RNAcentral
UUGGUCUGUUGCAUGGAGGACA